UACGUAGGGUGCGAGCGUUGUCCGGAAUUAUUGGGCGUAAAGGGCUCGUAGGCGGUCUGUUACGUCGGGAGUGAAAACUCGGGGCUCAACCCCGAGCCUGCUUCCGAUACGGGCAGACUAGAGGUAUGCAGGGGAGAAUGGAAUUCCUGGUGUAGCGGUGAAAUGCGUAGAUAUCGAGAGGAACACCUGCGGCGAAGGCGGGUUGCUGGGCUGAUACUGACGCUGAGGCACGAAAGCGUGGGGAGCAAACAGG
This 253-nucleotide ribosomal RNA is filed under the name uncultured bacterium. Its description in RNAcentral is "partial 16S ribosomal RNA". It matches the Rfam family "Bacterial small subunit ribosomal RNA", at positions 524 to 776 of the family's 1533-position model. The record is from RNAcentral.